This 253-nucleotide ribosomal RNA is filed under the name uncultured bacterium. RNAcentral's name for it is "partial 16S ribosomal RNA". It matches the Rfam family "Bacterial small subunit ribosomal RNA", at positions 524 to 776 of the family's 1533-position model. The record is from RNAcentral.
UACGUAGGGGGCAAGCGUUGUCCGGAAUCAUUGGGCGUAAAGAGCGUGUAGGCGGCUCGAUAAGUCUGCUGUGAAAGUCCAGGGCUCAACCCUGGAAGGCCGGUGGAAACUGUCGGGCUAGAGUCCGGAAGAGGCGAGUGGAAUUCCUGGUGUAGCGGUGAAAUGCGCAGAUAUCAGGAAGAACACCUAUGGCGAAGGCAGCACUCUGGGACGGUACUGACGCUGAGACGCGAAAGCGUGGGGAGCGAACAGG